CAGUAGCCACGGGAAUACGGAGGGUGCAAGCGUUAAUCGGAAUUACUGGGCGUAAAGCGCACGCAGGCGGUCUGACAAGUCAGAUGUGAAAUCCCCGGGCUUAACCUGGGAACUGCAUUUGAAACUGUCAGGCUGGAGUCUUGUAGAGGGGGGUGGAAUUCCAGGUGUAGCGGUGAAAUGCGUAGAGAUCUGGAGGAAUACCGGUGGCGAAGGCGGCCCCCUGGACAAAGACUGACGCUCAGGUGCGAAAGCGUGGGGAGCAAACAGGAUUAGAUACCCGAGUAGUCCCUGUCUUUAUACA
Molecule: ribosomal RNA, 301 nt
Filed under: uncultured bacterium
Lineage: Bacteria
Description: partial 16S ribosomal RNA
Rfam family: Bacterial small subunit ribosomal RNA
Source: RNAcentral